RNAcentral lists this ribosomal RNA (395 nucleotides) under uncultured bacterium. RNAcentral's name for it is "bacterial SSU rRNA". It matches the Rfam family "Bacterial small subunit ribosomal RNA", at positions 28 to 418 of the family's 1533-position model. The record is from RNAcentral.
GAUGAACGCUAGCGGCAGGCUUAAUACAUGCAAGUCGAGGGGCAGCACGGUUAGCAAUAACUGGUGGCGACCGGCGCACGGGUGCGUAACACGUAUACAAUCUACCUUAAACAGGGGGAUAGCCUUUCGAAAAGAGAGAUUAAUACCCCGUAAUAAAUUGAACGGCAUCGUUUGAUUUUGAAAGCUCCGGCGGUUUGAGAUGAGUAUGCGUCUGAUUAGCUAGUUGGUGAGGUAACGGCUCACCAAGGCGACGAUCAGUAGGGGAUCUGGAGAGGACUAACCCCCCACACUGGUACUGAGACACGGACCAGACUCCUACGGGAGGCAGCAGUAAGGAAUAUUGGUCAAUGGAGGCAACUCUGAACCAGCCAUGCCGCGUGCAGGAUGACGGCCCU